Molecule: unclassified non-coding RNA, 1216 nt
Filed under: uncultured fungus
Lineage: Eukaryota; Fungi
Description: sequence contains 18S rRNA gene, ITS1, 5.8S rRNA gene, ITS2, 28S rRNA gene
Rfam family: Eukaryotic large subunit ribosomal RNA (bases 371-1216)
Source: RNAcentral
GGAAGGAUCAUUAUUGAACUGAAAAGUCUCUUACGUGUGUUGUUCUGGAACCACCCCCUUUUUCGACUGUCAAGUUUAUGGUUACGAAAUCAAUAACAAUCAUGAGUCCAAGCAAUGGAUGUCUAGGUUGCCACAACGAUGAAGAACGCAGCGAAAUGCGAUACGUAAUGUGAAUUGCAGGGUUAAGUGAAUCAUCAAAUGUUUGAACGCAAGUUGCGCCGCCUCGGCGGCAUGCUUCUUUGAGUGUCGGUUUCUUCGUUGGACGAUUCUUCGGGAAUUGCCCUCGUCUGACAGUCUCAUGGUGCCGGUUGCAAGAUUGGGCAUGCUGGGAUAGACCGCGCAGUGACACGUUCAGUGUCGCUCAACAACAAGACCUCAAAUGAAGUAGGACGACCCCCUGAAUUUAAGCAUAUAAUUAAGGGGAGGAAAAGAAACUAACGAGGAUUCCCUCAGUAACGGCGAGUGAAGCGGGAAGAGUUCAAACCGAGAAUCGCGCAAGCGAAUUGUGGUGUGUAAACGCGUGUCUCAGUGGCUGUGCCGAUGUAAGUCGAUUGGAAAAUCGCAUCAGAGAGGGUGAAAAUCCCGUUCGACAUUGGAUCUGCAGUUACGUUCGAGCCGUUGUUUUCGAGUCGGGUUGCUUGGGAGUGCAGCCCUAAGUGGGUGGUAAAUUCCAUCUAAAACUAAAUAUGUGUGGCAGACCGAUAGCGAACAAGUACCGUGAGGGAAAGAUGAAAAGAACUUUGAAAAGAGAGUUAAAAGUACCUGAAAUUGUUUGGAUUGAAGGGAUGACGACCAGUCGGUCAGGAUGGCUUGGCAGCGGGCUUGCUGCUGGCGGGGAUAGGUAGCUCCAUUCGUGGAGUGUUAUAGUCCUGUCAGCAGAGUUCGCCGUCGAGCGAGGUCAUGGAUAGAUCCUGACGAAAUGGUCGUCAUUCACCCGUCUUGAAACACGGACCAAGGAGUCUUACAUGUGUGCGAGUGUUAGUGUUCCAAAGCAUUAUCGCGUAAUGAAAGUGAAUUUCGUUUGCAAACGAGGGCGACUACGGUACGACCCUGAGCAUACAUGCAGGGACCCGAAAGAUGGUGAACUAUGCCUGGGCAGGAUGAAGCCAGGGGAAACUCUGGUGGAGGUCCGAAGCGAUUCUGACGUGCAAAUCGAUCGUGUGAGCUGGGUAUAGGGGCGAAAGACUAAUCGAACCGUCUGGUAGCUGGUUCCCUC